GUGAAACAUGAUCUUUGUUUUAUAAAGCUUUUAUGGCAUGUUUAUGUUCUCAAACCUUGAUCCUCCAGUUAGGGGCUGUCUAAAAUGUAUAUAUGAGUUCUCUAUAUAAAGUAGGUCAGGAGCAGGCAUUACUGAUCCAGAGUCUGGGCUAGGAGCCAGGAGCCCAGGUACUGGGGAGAGGGCCCCUUGAGAGAGAAUCAGCUCCCUGCAAGGUGAUGCCUGGCUCCUGAUCAUGUCAACAUUUACUUAACAGUCUGUGUUUCCAGUCAUUUCUGGUCUUUCUCAGAAGCUUGUUCUCUGUCCUCAAUUUGUGGGCAAACACAUGUACAUGCACGCACACACGCACACAGACACAUGGACAGACACACACACACACACACACACACACACACAGAGCUGCAAUAUUGCAGCCUUCUAUCCACAACACAAAGAAGCAUUAACAGUUUUCCAGGGGCGAAGGGGGCAAAUUUCAUGUUAUCUCAGCAGACCCUCCCUCGUGGAUUCUUUUCGAUGCCAGAAGGUUCCUAAUUUUCUGCAUUCCUCUGUCCCCUGAUGCAAAAGGAAGGCCCUGAGUAUGUGUGGACCGACGGCUCCUCCAGCUGGUCUUCUCCUCUGCACGUGGAUGAUAAAGGAGUCGUAGCGUGCCAAUAAUGAUGCAGAACAUUUCUCAAUCCUACUCAGGAAGAGGAAUGCUGAGUGAAGGGGACCUUGGAACCUAAGUUUUAUUACUCUGGCUAUAAAUUUUCAGUGGUUGUCAAGAAAGCAGAGGAACAUGAGAGUUCUGUCAUUUCUUCUUUCUCAUUUUCUCUCAUUCCUGCCCUUGUCCUAUGGCAACCCACCCCUAUGAUUAGGCGGGACUCCACCCACCCCGGCAACACUGCAGAGACCAUCUGGAGCCCAGAUGAUUUCCUUGCCUCCUGGAAGCUCUCGCGGAAGGUUCUGACUCCAUCUCCCAGCCAGGCUUGAACAGAGUGUGUCCCAAAGGACUUAGAAGCAGCCGGAGCCUACCCUCCCCUCGUCACUUUCUGGAGAAGGGCCUGGGACCAGCCCAAGGCAGAGGCCAUCUGAAAUAGCCCAUAUGGGGUUUUGCUAGAUGGGCUCGGGUCCCUGGAGACAGCAUCCUGUAGGCUCCCAAUCUGGCCUGCCUGGGUUCUGGAGCCUGUGAGGGAGUCACGAUUUGCUGAACUUGAGAGUCUUCAGGAAAGCCAGAGGAGAGCAAGGCAUGAGACCAGCCAAGCAGGUGCCUGGUCUCCUUAGAGCAAAUGUGUGAUUCACGUGGGUCUGAAUCGUGGGAGUUGGCUUGGUCUACCCGGGGUCACUCUUGACCUUAAAAGCAAUGCUAACGCUGA
This 1349-nucleotide long non-coding RNA is filed under the name Equus caballus (horse). Its description in RNAcentral is "lncRNA (ENSECAG00000059023.1)". Lineage: Eukaryota; Metazoa; Chordata; Mammalia; Perissodactyla; Equidae. The record is from RNAcentral.